Molecule: long non-coding RNA, 152 nt
Organism: Cydia strobilella
Lineage: Eukaryota; Metazoa; Arthropoda; Insecta; Lepidoptera; Tortricidae
Exons: 2
Source: RefSeq, a predicted model, not a curated record
UAUACACCGUGUUUUUAUUGAAUUCCGUUAACUUCGGGAUAAAAUUAAAUUAUUAUCUCCGAAAUGGAGUUAAUUAGAAUACCGGUGUCUUUGAGAAAGUUACUAAAAUUUAAGUUCAGGAAUGCACCCUUGAAAAAAAAACACGGUGUAUA